This is a long non-coding RNA of Cannabis sativa, 774 nucleotides long. RefSeq lists it as uncharacterized. The transcript is spliced from 3 exons. The record is from RefSeq and is a predicted model, not a curated record. Lineage: Eukaryota; Viridiplantae; Streptophyta; Magnoliopsida; Rosales; Cannabaceae.
GAGAUUUUAUUUCUGCAUUUUACUCCAGCCUAGCAGCCAGCCUCUCCCUCUCUCAAAAACUCAUUUUUUUUAGCUUUGAUUUUGUAGUGAAUUGCUUGUGGAAGAAAGCUUAGUUUUGGAGAUUUGGGGAUUUGCUCUUGCUUGGAUUUGAGGAUUACCGGCACUUGGUCAAGAGCACCCGGGGAUUUGGAAUCUCCAUAUUUGCGGGACAUCAGGAAAGGGUAAAUCUAUCUCUGAUCAGCCAUGAGUAUGUUAGUUGGGCGAUGUAUGUAUAGGAAUGUCAAUGGGGCGGGUCGGAUCUGAUCCGACUCUGAUCCAACCUGAUCCAGAUCAUAUACGGAUCUGCCCCGCCCCGCCUCGCUGGAUCAGAUACUCGGAUCGGAUCUGAUCCGACCCGCCUUAUACGGAUCGGAUCUGAUCCGACCCAACUUUUUUUUUUAAAUAAAAAAAAUAUAUUUUAUAUCUAAAUUUAUAUUUUUUUUUCCAAAAUUUAUUUGUUUAAGAACUAAUAAUGCAUUAUUUUUUUUCUUAUAUAUUUUUAUUUUAUUUGUCAAAAUCAAUAAAAAAAAAUAUAUCAAAUUCUUAUCACAUAAAAAUGUAAUAUUACUAUUGAAAAAUUAAUUUACCAAAUUUUAGAAAUUCCACUAAUAUAAUCAUCAAUAAUAAUGUAGUAUGAUGAUUACAUGAAAUAAAUCUCCUCUAAAAAAAUACAUUAAAUUAACUAUAAACUUUAUAUAUGCUGUUCUUCUAGUCUUCAAGAUUUACUGUAUACGA